Molecule: ribosomal RNA, 1479 nt
Filed under: Triticum aestivum (bread wheat)
Lineage: Eukaryota; Viridiplantae; Streptophyta; Magnoliopsida; Poales; Poaceae
Description: partial small subunit ribosomal RNA
Source: RNAcentral
AUGAGGGACGACGGCCCCGCGGCGGCGCUGGUGCCGCGCCUGGCCGUCUCCAGCGCCAGCCGCGUCGAGGAGCUCGAGCGCUUCUCCCAUUACGUCGCCAGGCAAAUCGGGUUCGACCAAGCCAGCGAGUGCCCGCACCUGUGCACGCUGGCCUACGACUACCUGCGCAAGAACAAGGGCUACGAGGAGAACAUAUUCGCCUUCUUCCACAACACCGCCGACCCGGGGUCCCUCAUCGUCAACUUCAUCGAGGAGCUCGACAAGUGCAUACUCGGCUACUUCUCCUUCCACUGGAAAUGCUCCACCUACAUGAUCACCCAGGUUCUGACAGUGGAAGGCGCGCCCAAAAGAAAGCUCCGGAACAUGGUAUUGGAGGCCACCAGGAGUCAGAGAUUCGAAAGGGUCACAAGAAACUUAAAGGUAACUAGGCUAUUCUCCACACUGGUGGAAGAGCUGAAGGCCAUAGGACUAUCUCCCCAAGGUCCGGCACAGUGCAGCGAUGUGAUGGUCCCAGUAGCACAUUGUGAUCGCAGCCCAGUCCUGCUCCUGAUGGGUGGCGGAAUGGGAGCUGGCAAGAGCACUGUACUUAAAGAUAUACUAAAGGAAUCAUUUUGGUCUGGAGCAGCAGCAAAUGCAGUGGUGGUGGAGGCAGAUGCAUUCAAGGAAACCGAUGUCAUAUAUCGAGCAAUCAGCUCAAGAGGUCACCACAACGACAUGUUGCAGACGGCAGAGCUGGUGCACCAGUCAUCGAUGGACGCGGCCUCGUCGCUCCUGGUGACCGCCCUGAACGAAGGGAGGGACGUGAUCAUGGACGGCACGCUGUCGUGGGAGCCAUUUUUCCAGCAAACGGUAGCCAUGGCAAGGGCAGUGCACCGGCAGCGGUACCGCAUGGGCGUCGGCUACAAGGUCACUGAAGAUGGGUCGAUCACGGAGGAUUACUGGGAGCCGGUUGAGGCCCGCAGUACUGACGAAGAGAGCGAGAUGAGAUCGAGGAAGCCCUACCGCAUCGAGCUCGUCGGUGUCGUCUGUGAUGCCUACCUCGCUGUUGUGAGAGGAAUCAGGAGAGCGGUGAUCACGGGGAGAGCGGUGAGGGUCAAGUCCCAGCUGCAGUCGCACAAGCGAUUCGCCACCGCAUUCCGUGGAUACUGCGGCGUCGUCGACAACGCGAGGCUCUACAGCACCAACUCCAUGGGUGCCCCAAAGUUGAUAGGGUGGAAGGACGGCGAGAGCAACCUGCUGGUGGACCCGGAGGAGAUCGGGUGCCUGGAGCGGGUGAGCGGCCUGAACGACGAGGCCAACUGCGUGGACGAGCUCUACCCGGACGGCCAGCCGUCGCCGUCGGCGUGGCAGGACCUCGUGGCGUCGCCGUCGAGGGCGUCCGUGCAGCGCGAGCUCAGGGCCGCCGUCCAGGCGAGCGAGGCGCGCUUCCGGGCCGACGGCGCCCUCCGCGGCGGCGACGCGCCGGUACAAACUUUUUGA